AGUGAACGCUGGCGGUAGGCCUAACACAUGCAAGUCGAACGGCAGCACAGGAGAGCUUGCUCUCUGGGUGGCGAGUGGCGGACGGGUGAGGAAUACAUCGGAAUCUACUCUGUCGUGGGGGAUAACGUAGGGAAACUUACGCUAAUACCGCAUACGACCUACGGGUGAAAGCAGGGGACCUUCGGGCCUUGCGCGAUUGAAUGAGCCGAUGUCGGAUUAGCUAGUUGGCGGGGAAAAGGCCCACCAAGGCGACGAUCCGUAGCUGGACUGAGAGGAUGAUCCGCCACACGGGAACUGAGACACUGUCCAGCCUCCUACGGGAGGCAGCAGUGGGGAAUAUUGGACAAGGGGCGCAAGCCUGAUCCAGCCAUACCGCGUGGGUGAAGAAGGCCUUCGGGUUGUAAAGCCCUUUUUUUGGAAAAGAAAUCCAGCUGGCUAAUACCCGGUUGGGAUGACGGUACCCAAAGAAUAAGCACCGGCUAACUUCGUGCCAGCCGCCGCCGUAA
RNAcentral lists this ribosomal RNA (506 nucleotides) under uncultured bacterium. Its description in RNAcentral is "partial 16S ribosomal RNA". It matches the Rfam family "Bacterial small subunit ribosomal RNA", at positions 29 to 523 of the family's 1533-position model. The record is from RNAcentral.